This 210-nucleotide small RNA is filed under the name Mycobacterium sp. RNAcentral describes it as "c-di-AMP sequence". The stretch from base 59 to 210 matches the Rfam family "c-di-AMP riboswitch aptamer (ydaO/yuaA leader)". From Rfam's summary of the family: This family represents a conserved RNA structure found upstream of the ydaO and yuaA genes in Bacillus subtilis and related genes in other bacteria. The record is from RNAcentral. Lineage: Bacteria; Bacillati; Actinomycetota; Actinomycetes; Mycobacteriales; Mycobacteriaceae.
GUACGGACCCCGACGGAACCAGGGGCGAGGGCGGGGAACCCACGUUCCCACAGAGGUUUUCGGAGCUCAACCGAGUUUCGAAGCCUCCGCAGGAAGCGGGAACGGCCGGCAACGACCGAUCCCUUGGGGUGAAGUCCCGGCGAGCCGGGACCGGACGGCCUCUCAGUCCGAACCCGACAGCUCACCUCGCAGGCGCGUACGAGAGGAAGA